RNAcentral lists this non-coding RNA (23 nucleotides) under Cricetulus griseus (Chinese hamster). Lineage: Eukaryota; Metazoa; Chordata; Mammalia; Rodentia; Cricetidae. The record is from RNAcentral.
AAGGAAGGAGGAAAAAGAAAAGG